Leptopilina boulardi is the source of this 2612-nucleotide RNA transcript. RefSeq lists it as uncharacterized. NCBI's taxonomy places the organism in Eukaryota, Metazoa, Arthropoda, Insecta, Hymenoptera, Figitidae. The record is from RefSeq and is a predicted model, not a curated record. The transcript has 4 exons.
AGUAAUAAUUAAUAUUCAAAAUUGAAAAAUUAUAAAAUUUUGCAUUCAAUUUUAUCAAUAUUAAAAAACGGAUUAUAUUAAUUUUGAUAAAAUAAAAAAAUAUAUUUAAAAAAAAAAAUUAAUUUUUCCAUUUCUUCAACACAAUAAAAUUUGGGAAUUCCCUUGUUUUGAAGACGCAUUGAAAUUGUUUUAAAUUAUAUUAUCAAAAAUAAGGACAGUAACAAUUAUUGAAAUACAUUGUUCUAUUUUACAAGGAUCGAAGUCACAUGUAAGCGGGUCGCUAGCGUGUUUAUAAUGUAAUUUUAGAAACUGGUCACUUAUAUGAAUAUCGACCUCCUCGACACCGUAAAAUGCAGACUAGACCGGACGUUUAUUUUAUUGAUUAUUUUAUACUCAGCACUCGGUUAGCAGAAAUUCCAACGAUAUUGACAGUAUUAUAUUUGGUCUUGUACGCCACGGUAAAUCUUACCAGGGUACAUUUAUGAUAUGAAGAGAUAAUUCUUAAAAUUGCCGCCAAUUUUGGCUGAUGAGAAUCACGCUUUUAGUUUCUUUUUUAAAAAAAAGAAAUAAUUCUAAAACGGAGUUUUAAUUUGAAAUGAUUUUUGAAAAAUGUCUCAAUUAACGUAUGAAUGUGAUUAUGGAAUCAAAAAUAAUAGUGAGGAUAGUGCACCAUUUAAACCCUGUUCUCCUGAUAAAUAUUGUAUACUUUGCAACGCACAAUGUUGCCUAACAAUACAAAGAAGAGUUCCACGACAUUUUUGGGAAAGUUGGUAUUUUUGGCUUGGAGUUGGACUUCUUCUUAUUUUUAUAGUGUCAACUACCAGCAGCUUUUUGAUUAAUUAUUGCAAACAAAAUGUAUUUUCGUUUGUUUAUCGUCCGAGAAAUAGUUCAACGGCUCCAAAUAAUAAUAAUAAUAAUACUCCUAAUCCUCGAAAUGAAAUUGCAAUUAAUAUUAUUUCUCCAUUGCCGUCGCAUGCAAAAAUGCUUUUGGUCACUCCUCAAUCAAGUUGUGGCUAUAUGACUCCUGUAGUUGCAUGACACAAGAUAAUUUGGAAUGAAAUUUUGAGUAAUGUGAUAUCAAAAUUCUUCGAUUCGAAAAAAUUAUUGAAAUGUAUAUGCCUUUGCAUGAAGAAUAACUAUUUUCUAUUUAAUUCUGUUUGAAGAUAAGAGUUUAUCAUUAUAAGAGAAAAGAUUGUGGUCAUUUCUUCAAUUUCAAAAAAUUCACUUCAAUGCACAGGAUUAUUCGAAUGAUUGAAAUUCACAUUAAAGAAGAUUUAUGCAAGAGAAAAAUUUUUUAAUCGCACUCUAUAAAUUGGAAUUUUUAAUUAUCAUUGAAAGAAAAAUAACUUUAAAUUUUCGAGAAGAAUUACAGAAAAAAAAUUAUUUUACUAUAAUAUGGAAUAAUAAACUUCAAUUUCGAUAAUAUUAAGAAUAGAAGACUCCUUUUAUAAUUGCAAAUAUUCUCUUAAAAAUUUCUUCCUGCUUUUAAAACGACCAAUUAAAAAAAAAAAUUUCAUUAAUUAAAAAACAUUUUCUACUUUUUUCAUUUCUCUGCAAAUUUUAUUAACUUUCAACUUGUAAAAUUAAGAGUAUUUUUAAAUAUAUUAUAGUAAUUAGAUUUAAAAAAGAAAAAAAUUCGAUACUUAUAAUAUAUAAAGUAUAAAUUAAGUGUGAAAGAAGAAAUUAAGUAAAAUCGAAGGUUGUUUCGUGUUUUUAAAGAAGUGUUAAAAGCAGAAAGUCUUAGUUAAACUUUAUUUACGAGCUGUACUUAAUUAUACCUUUAAUUAAUCAGUUUUAAAUCUUGAAGUUUAUUCCGUAAUUAGCCUGCUUUAGCCAAUCCUGUUUCAACUAUGUGUGUAUUUACCGAUUCGCGAUUCAAGAUGCUACAUACUUAACUCCGUUAAGUAAAGUCCUUUUUUUUUUUUUGUUAUCCCUUUUUCUCAGAUCAACGAUAACGCGAUGGGGACAACGCGAAUCGCAAGAUCUUACAUUAGCGUUUUUUGUCGAGAGAGUACCGAGAAAAAAAAAAUUACCAAUGUUUUUUCGAAAGUAAAUUUCACUCGAAUUUAAUGUUUCAAAUUCCUGAUAAAUUAUAAAUAAAAAAAAAUUUUCCAUUAUUAAUUAUUAAUUAAUGCCAUAGUUAUUAAUUAAUGUUCAUUUUUUCAAAAUCAAAUUUUUAUUUAUAAUAUUUUAAUUAUAAUGAUUUAAUAAAAUUGAUAAUUAGAGUAAAAUAUAAUUAAUUGAAAUCAAUAAAAAUAAAUUGAUUUUAAUUUUUUUUAGUAUAAUAAUAUAUUAAGAAUCUAGAACAAAACCUAGAUUUAUGAUAUAUUUAUACUAAAUUGUGACUAUAAUAAUUCUCAGCCAGGUAAUAUAUGGCUUUUAUAAGGGAAAGUAUAUAUAUUACAAUUGAUUAAUCAAUAAAAUAAAAGCAUUGUUAAUGUAAAAGAAUCUUCACCUUCAUAUAGGUGAACAUCACACUAUUGUAAAUAGUUUUCUAUAUAAGUUAUAUAUAUGUAAAUAUAGAUAUAUUCACAGGGUGCCUUUAAAGACUUUUUGUACAAAAAGUAGUAUUAUUUUUAUUGAUUUAAAUUUCUGUUUAUAUGAAUCAAUUA